This 741-nucleotide long non-coding RNA is filed under the name Rhinopithecus roxellana (golden snub-nosed monkey). RNAcentral describes it as "lncRNA (ENSRROG00000045818.1)". The record is from RNAcentral. Lineage: Eukaryota; Metazoa; Chordata; Mammalia; Primates; Cercopithecidae.
UGGGGACGCACUGUUUCAGUUGAGCUCCUGUUUGGUUUUGUGUCUCCGCGGUGUUUCCAAGAGUCUCGGCGUUUCUACCUCUUAGCACCCUUUCUUGCCACCCUUUGUCCUGUGGAAGCCCAGAGACAUCAGCGGUUGCAACUGUGCUACUCGCUGCUCGGCAUGGAAGGGUCAGGUACCGCAGUUCAGCGCUCUUGGCCCCGCAGGUCCUCGGGCAUCCCUGUGCCCCGUCCUGUACAUUGUUAUGCUCCGACUUCCUAGGGUCGAAGUUAUUGCCUGCUGGGUUUUAGAAGCUAUUGCUUUACGUCUGAGAAAAAAAUCCCAGAAAGGACAAAAAAUAAUAUCCAAGGAUAUUUUGGCACUAAUGGCGCAAUCUGUAGCAAGAAAGUUGAGCAGUCUGAACUGUUGAGACUUCCAAGGAGACUUCAGAGAACCAAAACAGUGUAAAGGAAAACAGGAAAAAAGACUUGUUAGACAUUAUUAAGGGCACGAAAGUUGAAUCGAGCACAGUAAAUGUACAAACAACAAAGCCACCCAGCAGAAGUCCACUUAAAAGCGACGACUGGCGGGCCUCAAAGAGCUGCAGAACAUGCUCCAAAGAAGAGGAAAAUACAUUCAUGGGGAAGAGACAUAAUAGUUUUGACAUUACGGCAGUUACAGCACCUGAACAUGUUUGUUAAGAAUAACUGCUUCUCAGGUGGAGAAAUAAUUUCAUCUCUUCAAGAUGUCCUUAGGUUUUGA